CCUACGGGGUGCAGCAGUGGGGAAUAUUGCACAAUGGGGGAAACCCUGAUGCAGCGAAGCCGCGUGAGUGAAGAAGUAAUUCGGUAUGUAAAGCUCUAUCAGCAGGGAAGAAAAUGACGGUACCUGAGUAAGAAGCCCCGGCUAACUACGUGCCAGCAGCCGCGGUAAUACGUAGGGGGCAAGCGUUAUCCGGAUUUACUGGGUGUAAAGGGAGCGUAGACGGCAGUGCAAGUCUGGAGUGAAAGGCGGGGGCUCAACCCCAGGACUGCUCUGGAAACUGUACGGCUGGAGUGCAGGAGAGGUGAGUGGAAUUCCUAGUGUAGCGGUGAAAUGCGUAGAUAUUAGGAGGAACUCCAGUGGCGAAGGCGGCUUACUGGACUGUAACUGACGUUGAGGCUCGAAAGCGUGGGGAGCAAACAGGAUUAGAUACCCUGGUAGUC
This 440-nucleotide ribosomal RNA is filed under the name uncultured bacterium. RNAcentral's name for it is "partial 16S ribosomal RNA". It matches the Rfam family "Bacterial small subunit ribosomal RNA", at positions 338 to 795 of the family's 1533-position model. The record is from RNAcentral.